Molecule: long non-coding RNA, 268 nt
Filed under: Actinidia chinensis (golden kiwifruit)
Lineage: Eukaryota; Viridiplantae; Streptophyta; Magnoliopsida; Ericales; Actinidiaceae
Description: long non-coding RNA (ACHI_LNC009339)
Source: RNAcentral
GUAGCAGAUCUCGAAACCCUACCUCUUGUCUCCCAAGAAAUCGCACAUUCUCUUCAAGAACCGGUUCCACUGUUUCAAGAACCAGUUCAACAUCGACGUGAUCAUUCGUUUGAUCCAUUUGGGUUUGGUCGAUUGCGAUUCAUUUGGUUCGAAGAAGCACAAGAAUUUGUCGUUUUUCGAAGUCGGAAUGCUUGAAUAACGGCGGUUUAGUUGGUCUCGAAGGUCGUCAUGGACGAUCGAUGGCGACUCGUUCGUUGCUGUUCGGAGA